This 585-nucleotide ribosomal RNA is filed under the name Saccharomyces sp. 13-C2-P5C1. RNAcentral describes it as "eukaryotic LSU rRNA". It matches the Rfam family "Eukaryotic large subunit ribosomal RNA", at positions 52 to 652 of the family's 3401-position model. Lineage: Eukaryota; Fungi; Ascomycota; Saccharomycetes; Saccharomycetales; Saccharomycetaceae. The record is from RNAcentral.
GGAGGAAAAGAAACCAACCGGGAUUGCCUUAGUAACGGCGAGUGAAGCGGCAAAAGCUCAAAUUUGAAAUCUGGCACCUUCGGUGUCCGAGUUGUAAUUUGAAGAAGUAACUUUGGGGCUGGUCCUUGUCUAUGUUCCUUGGAACAGGACGUCAUAGAGGGUGAGAAUCCCGUGUGGCGAGGAUCCCAGUUCUUUGUAAAGUGCUUUCGACGAGUCGAGUUGUUUGGGAAUGCAGCUCUAAGUGGGUGGUAAAUUCCAUCUAAAGCUAAAUAUUGGCGAGAGACCGAUAGCGAACAAGUACAGUGAUGGAAAGAUGAAAAGAACUUUGAAAAGAGAGUGAAAAAGUACGUGAAAUUGUUGAAAGGGAAGGGCAUUUGAUCAGACAUGGUGUUUUGCGACCCUCGCUCCUUGUGGGUGGGGAUCUCGCAGCUCACUGGGCCAACAUCGGUUUUGGCGGCAGGAUAAAACUUUGGGAAUGUAACUUGUCUUCGGAGAAGUAUUAUAGCCCAAGGCAAUACUGCCAGCCGGGACCGAGGACUGCGACUUUUGUCAAGGAUGUUGGCAUAAUGGUUAUAUGCCGCCCGU